RNAcentral lists this ribosomal RNA (252 nucleotides) under uncultured prokaryote. RNAcentral's name for it is "partial 16S rRNA". It matches the Rfam family "Archaeal small subunit ribosomal RNA", at positions 475 to 726 of the family's 1478-position model. The record is from RNAcentral.
ACCGGCAGCUCAAGUGGUGGCCAUUAUUAUUGGGCCUAAAGCGUUCGUAGCCGGUUUGAUAAGUCUCUGGUGAAAUCCUGCAGCUUAACUGUGGGACUUGCUGGAGAUACUAUCAGACUUGAGGUCGGGAGAGGUUAGGGGUACUCCCAGGGUAGGGGUGAAAUCCUAUAAUCCUGGGAGGACCACCUGUGGCGAAGGCGCCUCACCAGAACGGACCCGACGGUGAGUAACGAAAGCUAGGGGAGCAAACCG